This 460-nucleotide ribosomal RNA is filed under the name uncultured bacterium. RNAcentral describes it as "partial 16S ribosomal RNA". It matches the Rfam family "Bacterial small subunit ribosomal RNA", at positions 338 to 795 of the family's 1533-position model. The record is from RNAcentral.
CCUACGGGUGGCAGCAGUGAGGAAUAUUGGUCAAUGGGCGCGAGCCUGAACCAGCCAAGUAGCGUGAAGGAUGACUGCCCUACGGGUUGUAAACUUCUUUUAUAAAGGAAUAAAGUGAGGCACGUGUGCCUUUUUGUAUGUACUUUAUGCAUAAGGAUCGGCUAAGUCCGUGCCAGCAGCCGCGGUAAUACGGAGGUUCCGAGCGUUAUCCGGAUUUAUUGGGUUUAAAGGGAGCGUAGAUGGGUGGUUAAGUAGGUUGGGAAUGUUUGCGGCUCAACCGUAAAAUUGCAAUUGAUACUGGCAGGCUUGAGUGCAGUUGAGGUAGGAGGAAUUCGUGGUGUAGCGGUGAAAUGCUUAGAUAUCACGAAGAACUCCGAUUGCGAAGGCAGCUUACUAAACUGCCACUGACAUUGAUGCUCGAAAGUGUGGGUAUCAAACAGGAUUAGAUACCCGUGUAGUC